RNAcentral lists this long non-coding RNA (2452 nucleotides) under Theobroma cacao (cacao). RNAcentral's name for it is "long non-coding RNA (TCAC_LNC003570)". Lineage: Eukaryota; Viridiplantae; Streptophyta; Magnoliopsida; Malvales; Malvaceae. The record is from RNAcentral.
AACAACUUAUGUUAGUUCAUUCAUCAGAUUCAAACAACAGACAGUCAGAAAAGCUUAAUAUCAGGGAAGAAGAAAGACAGAGGAGAGGAAAAGAUAUUGCUGAUUAAGGUAUGUUUAGGAAUUAUAUUUUCAUAAUUUGGGUACAAAAACCCUAAAUUAGAUAUAUUUUCUUAUUUUUUUUAUUUAAAUCCGGUACUUUUCUGAUGACUUUUCAGUAGCAUGAUGGGUACCAAUGGAAAGGUCUUGAAAAGAUCUUUCCAAUGGUUUUUGUAGCAUCUUGUUUGGGCUUAUGGUUAGGAAUAUAUGAAUUUUUGAAGUUAAUUAGAAAUCUGGUUUUCAACAGUUUUGACAGCCCGACUUUGGGUCACCGGAACUCCAUAUUUCGGUGACGUUUUUGGUCGUUUCUUUGAGGGCUUUUGAAGUAUGAAAUUAGAUGUUUAAUUUGGCGUCAAUGUCUUGGUUAGAGGCUUCCUGUGUUAAGAGAAUUAAAGCCUCAAAGUAGGCUCAUUGAUACUGGAAACUCAGAAAUCUGGGUAUUUCUGUGAUGAUUUCUUGAAUUUUGGCUUUCGAAACUUAGGAAUCUUGUGGUCUUUUUAAUCGAAACAAAUUUUGGUCUUGUAGUAUGAUAUGCAUACUUUAAAUUGGUGUUGAUUUCAUCACUGGAUAUAAUUCGGGUUAAAAGAUAUGAGAGCUUGAAGUAAGCCAAAUGGCCAUCCAGAUUCUGGAAAUUCCAGAAAACAGAAAAUUUCUUUUUUUAAAUUUGUUUUAAAAAUUGAUUUUAAUUAUUAUGUGAUAAAUUCUAUUGUAAAUUUCAUAAAUAUUGGAUAUGUGAUUUCUACUGUAUUUUUAUGUUAAGAAGUAUGUAUCUUUAUACUUUAUAAAUUUAUUUCUUAAAUUAGUAGAUUUUAUUAAAAUAUCAAAAUUUAUGAAAUUAAUUACAAAUAUGAUUUUUACAAGUGAAAUUAGUAUUAUUUCUCUAUCUGAAAUUUAAAGUCCUUACUGAUUUUAUGAUUUAAGUUUAAUUCUCAACCUUAUUGGAAAUUUUGUUUAAUUCAAAAAUAUAAAUAAUAAUAAUAUAUUACCUUAUUAACAAAAAAAAAAAAUUCAUAAAUUGUAAUAGGAGUCGCUACACACUCUAAGUACUUAGGAUGGUCAACGAAAAGUCGCCUUGUAGAAUCUGUUUGCAAAUUUAGUUCUGAUUUUUGUGUUUCUCGAAAUACUAGGCUACUAAGAGGAUUUUCGGAUUUGCUACUUGAAAGUAAAAUUUACGAGAUCAUGUAAGUGACUGAUAUCCCUUCGGUGUUUUCACACCUUAAAAAUUAGCUUCAAUCUGAAUUUGUACAUGAGAUAUAAUAUUUUGUCCUAUGAUUUAUUAAAAUUGGGUUGAGCAUGCAAAAUGUAUAUGUAUAUAAGUUUAUAUGUUAGAUUUAGAAUGUGGUUUAUGCAAAACGUGAUUUCUGAAUUGGAAAUUUGGAUAUGACUUUGUAUGAUGUAUGCAUAUAUGUUUUCACGAAUAUAAAUAUAAAUAUUUAGUCUGAAACGAAUAUGCUUUUGAGGUGUAUGAGAUAUACUUGAGAAAUUUGAUAUACUGGUUUAUGAACUUUGGGUAAUCUAAAAAUAUAUAUAUUUCUGUUUUGUCUCCUAGCAUGGCUAUGCUCUGACCCUGCCAAUGGGGGUUAAAUGUUGGCCAUGUUGACAUGUAUUCUGUGAUUAGAGAUCGAUCUCCCAACCGCACCACCGGUUACAGAAUAGUGGUAUCUGUGAUAUCUGUUCAGUGCAGCCAAUGGUUGCUUCUUCUGACCCAUGCCACUGGGGUUAAUUGUGGUUCUAUUUCUGACCUAUGCCACAGGGGUUAAGUGUGGUCGUAGCAUGUUACAGGAGACCAUUAAAAGUUAAAUAUGGUGAAUAUAUUUGUUUUGUUAUUUGAAUGCGCAAAUUUUGAAAUAUGUGAUUCCAAAUAAGAUUACCCAAUAUUUUGUCUUGGCAUUUGUAAAUGAUAUUUUGCCCUGAAUGUUUUAAGCAUGCUUAAUCCGGCUGAAGGGAUGUUAGUUACUUGCUGAGUAGUUGGACUCACCCCUUCCUUCAAAUUUUUUUCAAGUUGUGAUUUGGUCAACCACGCGGGAACUUUGGGGAGUGAUGUUUAAUUUAGUAGCACUUAAAUUAUCUAGGAUUUAUUUAAAUAUUAUGAACAUCGUACUAUCUUAAUUAGUAUUCAGACUUUUAUCUUGACUUAGUAGCUUCAUGGUUUUGGAGAUUUAAUUUUGAAUAUUGUCGAAUUAUGAUAUUUGGAAAUUCUGUCAACAGAUAUAGUUUAUAAAUCACUAAAUUUUUCAGGUAUAUCAGUCUCUUUUAGUAAUAGUUUAAGAUAUAUAUUUUAGAGCCUUGCAUGUCUGUAGGAUUAUGCCUUACAGGUAUGCGGCGUCUGUCAUGUCUCGGGUCUGGGGCGUGACAA